AGAGAGAACCCUACAGACAGACCAAAUAGAGAGAGAGAGAGCCCUAUAGACAGAAGGAGAAAUGAUCUAGUGAAUAAUUAGCUUUUAGCUGAUAUCUGCAUUGUAAAGCUGUACAGCGGGCAGGAAGUUAGCCAGGCAGGCCCUGGGCUAGGGGUGUAAAGUUCACCACACCUUAGCCAUUGUAGAGGUGGGUAGCAGCAUUCUCUCUGUGGAUCCCUCUCUUAGUCACAACAAGACAACAUCUAUUGAUCCUGUUCCUGAUCCGUGUUAGGAGGAGGAGUGGGUUCUGAGACUUCCAACUGAAAGGUAAGACCUCUGUUUCAUCUGAUGGGUUUUGAUUGGAUACAGGGCAUUGUAGUGUACCUCAGAUAGCUGAAUUCCAAGUGGUUGCUCAUGGUCAGUAAGCACUAUGCUAUCUUAUAAAGAACACACCCACCUUAUCCUGGACACACCCACCUUAUCCUGGACACACCCAUCUUAUCCUGGAUACACCCACUUUAUCCUGGCAAGUCCUACUAACUGCAUGUACACUACACAUAGCCUAUUGGAUGGAUAGUAACUCAGUAACUCACUGGAUGUAUAGGAACUCAGUAACUCACUGGAUGUAUAGUAACUCCCUGGAUGUAUAGUAACUCACUGGAUGUAUAGUAACUCAGUAACUCACUGGAUGUAUA
Long non-coding RNA from Oncorhynchus tshawytscha (Chinook salmon), 674 nucleotides. The record is from Ensembl. Lineage: Eukaryota; Metazoa; Chordata; Actinopteri; Salmoniformes; Salmonidae.